GUGUGUGUGUAUGUAUGUGUGUGUGUGUGUGUGUGUGUGUGUGUAUACACACACACACACACACACACACACACACACAU
This is a non-coding RNA of Podarcis lilfordi (Lilford's wall lizard), 80 nucleotides long. The record is from the annotation of a GenBank genome assembly. NCBI's taxonomy places the organism in Eukaryota, Metazoa, Chordata, Lepidosauria, Squamata, Lacertidae.